This 29-nucleotide non-coding RNA is filed under the name Mus musculus (house mouse). The record is from RNAcentral. Lineage: Eukaryota; Metazoa; Chordata; Mammalia; Rodentia; Muridae.
CUUGCUUGUAGAAGACUGGGACCAUCAUC